Molecule: long non-coding RNA, 559 nt
Filed under: Brassica napus (rape)
Lineage: Eukaryota; Viridiplantae; Streptophyta; Magnoliopsida; Brassicales; Brassicaceae
Description: long non-coding RNA (BNAP_LNC008509)
Source: RNAcentral
AUAUAUGUAUAUAUAUAUGAUUACAUAUGAUCUUAAAAACAAUAUGUAUGGUCUUGUUCUAAAAACAAUAUAUGGUCUUAAAACCAAAAAUAUUGAAGAUUUGUCUGUCUGUUAUGUUCUACGUGGGGGAAAUUCCCAUUAUAUUCUUCCAACAUCAUAUAUAUAUUUUCCAGUUGUAGUGUAGUUCUUUUUUUGCACAAAAAAAAAGUUUAGUUCUUUUUCUUAGGUAAACAUGUCGAUCAUUAUAUGACCAUAUGAGUGUAGUAAAAGGGUUAGCCAUUUAGGUGGCGAGGUCGCACACAUUUCAUAUCAGAGUGUAUCAGUAGAGAUAUAUACAUAUCAGAGUGUUCUUAGUUAAUAUAAUUAUAUUAUGCUUUUUGACUUCCAAUUAUUAUAAUAUAUUUAACUAUAUAGUUUGAUUUUCGCCGUAAGAUUCUUUGCCGGAACCUUCCAAUUAUGCAUAUCACAGCCACAUGAUACAAUUAUACAUCCCACAAUAAAAGCGCAGCCCUCUUGUAUUUAAAUAUUCUCAUACCACCAACACAAAAUAAAGUAUACA